ACGGCCGACAUGAGCGGCCUCCUGCUCGGGUCGCCCUCGACGCAGAGGAGCCCGACGUGGAUGCAGAGCAAAGCCUCCUCCUGCGAGCAGCUUCCUGCGAUGGAUGGAUCCACCAGGCCGCCUGCCUUUCCUUCCCUCCACAGACUAUGAGGCUUGGAAACUCCAUGAUGUCAUCAGGAGAGCUUAUCCUGACACCGCUCACGAUCUCCAGGAGCAGCACGCCGAAGCUGUAGACAUCGGACUUGACAGAGAAAACGCCCUCCGUAGAGUAUUCAGGAGCAAUGUAACCACUGUCCAGUGUCCCCACAAAGUUUUCAGAAGACGUGCCAGAAUUUUGUCAAAUGCUAAAAGCUAACUACAGCUUAAAAAGCAAAAUCUAUUUUUUUGUUUGUAAAUCUAGCUUCAGUAUUCAGAGUACUAACAAUGUUCCGACGACUCGCUUGGUGUUGGCAUUCUGCUGGUUGUCGCAGAAGAUCUUGGCCAUGCCGAAAUCCGCUAUCUUGGGCCGCAUCUCAGCAUCCAGCAGCACGUUGCUUGCCUUGAGAUCUCGGUGUAUCACUGUCAACCUCGAGUCCUGGUGGAGGUAGAGGAGCCCCCUCGCGACGCCCUUGAUUAUCUCCAGCCGCGUCGGCCAAUCCAGCACCGAUUUCCUUUCACUAUCUGAAGCAAAAAGAUCACAUGAGACCGUCAGGAAUCGUAUCAUCAUUUUCUGUUCUUUCUUUCUUCAGUAACUUGCUUGAGUUCUGAACAUAUAUACAUACCGAAGAGGAUGGCGUCCAGGCCUUUGUUGGGCAAGUACUCGUAGAUGAGCAACUUCUCUGCUCCUUCCGUGCAGCAGCCGAGGAGACGGACCAAGUUUCUGUGUUGCAGUUUGGCGAUCAGGAUGGCUUCGUUCUUGAACUCUUCUGUUCCUUGGUCAGAAUCCUUGCUCAGUCUCUUGACAGCAACCUCUCGACCGCUCUCUAAUGUCCCCUUCCGAAUGAUACAUGAAACAGGCGAGAUCAUGAGUAUAAUUCAGUAUUUCAGUGCA
Molecule: long non-coding RNA, 1030 nt
Organism: Brachypodium distachyon (stiff brome)
Lineage: Eukaryota; Viridiplantae; Streptophyta; Magnoliopsida; Poales; Poaceae
Exons: 2
Source: RefSeq, a predicted model, not a curated record